GGAAUAUUGCGCAAUGGCCGAAAGGCUGACGCAGCGACGCCGCGUGGAGGAUGAAGUCCGUUAGGAUGUAAACUCCUUUUGGAGGGGAAGAAUGUCCCGAACUUGUUCGGGAUUGACGGUACCCUGCGAAUCAGGAUCGGCUAACUACGUGCCAGCAGCCGCGGUAAUACGUAGGAUCCGAGCGUUGUCCGGACUUCCUGGGGGUAAAGGGCGUGUAGGUGGGCCUUUAAGUCGGUGGUGAAAUCCUGCAGCUUAACUGUAGAAUUGCCGUCGAUACUGGAGGUCUUGAGUGCGGCAGAGGGAGACGGAAUUCAUGGUGUAGCGGUGAAAUGUGUAGAUAUCAUGAAGAACACCGGUAGCGAAGGCGGUCUCCUGGUCCGUUACUGACACUGAGGCGCGAAAGCGUGGGGAGCAAAC
RNAcentral lists this ribosomal RNA (417 nucleotides) under uncultured bacterium. RNAcentral describes it as "bacterial SSU rRNA". It matches the Rfam family "Bacterial small subunit ribosomal RNA", at positions 358 to 773 of the family's 1533-position model. The record is from RNAcentral.